RNAcentral lists this ribosomal RNA (546 nucleotides) under Rhodotorula mucilaginosa. Its description in RNAcentral is "partial large subunit ribosomal RNA". It matches the Rfam family "Eukaryotic large subunit ribosomal RNA", at positions 67 to 629 of the family's 3401-position model. The record is from RNAcentral. Lineage: Eukaryota; Fungi; Basidiomycota; Microbotryomycetes; Sporidiobolales; Sporidiobolaceae.
AACAAGGAUUCCCCUAGUAGCGGCGAGCGAAGCGGGAAGAGCUCAAAUUUAUAAUCUGGCACCUUCGGUGUCCGAGUUGUAAUCUCUAGAAAUGUUUUCCGCGUUGGACCGCACACAAGUCUGUUGGAAUACAGCGGCAUAGUGGUGAGACCCCCGUAUAUGGUGCGGACGCCCAGCGCUUUGUGAUACAUUUUCGAAGAGUCGAGUUGUUUGGGAAUGCAGCUCAAAUUGGGUGGUAAAUUCCAUCUAAAGCUAAAUAUUGGCGAGAGACCGAUAGCGAACAAGUACCGUGAGGGAAAGAUGAAAAGCACUUUGGAAAGAGAGUUAACAGUACGUGAAAUUGUUGGAAGGGAAACGCUUGAAGUCAGACUUGCUUGCCGAGCAAUCGGUUUGCAGGCCAGCAUCAGUUUUUCGGGGUGGAUAAUGGUAGAGAGAAGGUAGCAGUCUCGGCUGUGUUAUAGCUCUCUACUGGAUACACCCUGGGGGACUGAGGAACGCAGUGUGCCUUUGGCGGGGGUUUCGACCUCUUCACACUUAGGAUGCUGG